RNAcentral lists this ribosomal RNA (253 nucleotides) under uncultured bacterium. RNAcentral's name for it is "partial 16S ribosomal RNA". It matches the Rfam family "Bacterial small subunit ribosomal RNA", at positions 524 to 776 of the family's 1533-position model. The record is from RNAcentral.
UACGAAGGGGGCUAGCGUUGCUCGGAAUUACUGGGCGUAAAGGGUGCGUAGGCGGCUUUUUAAGUCGGGGGUGAAAUCCUGGAGCUCAACCCCAGAACUGCCUUUGAUACUGGGGAUCUUGAGUCCGGGAGAGGUGAGUGGAACUGCGAGUGUAGAGGUGAAAUUCGUAGAUAUUCGCAAGAACACCAGUGGCGAAGGCGGCUCACUGGCCCGGUACUGACGCUGAGGCACGAAAGCGUGGGGAGCAAACAGG